RNAcentral lists this long non-coding RNA (373 nucleotides) under Elaeis guineensis (African oil palm). RNAcentral's name for it is "long non-coding RNA (EGUI_LNC042476)". Lineage: Eukaryota; Viridiplantae; Streptophyta; Magnoliopsida; Arecales; Arecaceae. The record is from RNAcentral.
GCACGCACACCAAGCAACGCAAGAAAGUGGGAUGAAUCUCUAAAUUAAUGCACCUUCACAAGGCCACCAAGGGAGGGAAGAGAGGUGCUAGUAUGACCCUUCACACCUGUAAAGGGGAUGCCCAUGAAGGGCCCACACCAAGAGGAAGAGGGGUGGCAAGGAGGAGAGCACACCAAGGAUGGAUGCCCACAAGCUCUUCAUGCCUCUCUCUCUCUUUCUCUCUUUCUCUUAAUCUGAUUUCUAUCUCUUAUGCAUCCAUAGUUAGAGAUCCUCUUUAUUUAUAGAUAAUUCUCAUAACCCAAUAAGUAUAGAACUUCUAACUCAAACAUACUUUGAAUCAAUCCACUACUUAUCAAAGAAGGACUCCCACUUG